RNAcentral lists this long non-coding RNA (395 nucleotides) under Anas platyrhynchos platyrhynchos (common mallard). RNAcentral describes it as "lncRNA (ENSAPLG00000017835.1)". The record is from RNAcentral. Lineage: Eukaryota; Metazoa; Chordata; Aves; Anseriformes; Anatidae.
AUGUACAUGGAACUUGUCAGUUUUUUUUUUCUUGGUUUUGUUUUAUUUUGUUUCCUCCCAGCUGCAAACACUUUCAUCAGAAAAUACCAUUGUAUUAGCACAGAAACUGACAUCCAGUCUGACAAUAAUGUGAGCAAUUUGUCAAGCCCAGAGGUUCCUUGUCCAAUGAGAGGGAUUGGGAGGGAUUACACCCACCUGAGACAGUCAGCAGCACAGGGUCAAAAUGCUGGAGACACAGCAUGCCUCCAGAGCUUGCUUUCCCUGGCUGAAACCCGAGUGAGAGCAGUAUACAUAACCACACCCCGACUGAGUCCUCUGAACAGCUACACAAAAACAGCGGUGGUUAUUCACAGCAGGACCAGCAGGACCCUCCUACACACAACAGGCUGAGGCAG